GAGAAUGACUCUCAAUACAAUGCUUCCUUCUCGCUCUCGCCAUCAGAGGACUCUGGGAGCAAAAAGUUUUCGAACUCUAAUAGUUUUGAAAAACUCAAGGCGACAAUUACUCUGAAACGUAAGAGCACAAGUAAAGUUGUUCAAGUCCAGCCUGUGAGUGACAGUCGAGACGUCGCGGAGAGUUCGCUUCAGGUAGAACGGGCUUUCCAAGAUAAAAGCGCCAGCAAGCUGUUUGUGACGAACGUACAAAAUGAGACGUCUUUCCUGAAUU
Orbicella faveolata is the source of this 271-nucleotide long non-coding RNA. NCBI's taxonomy places the organism in Eukaryota, Metazoa, Cnidaria, Anthozoa, Scleractinia, Merulinidae. The record is from RefSeq and is a predicted model, not a curated record.